Molecule: ribosomal RNA, 227 nt
Filed under: Hydatigera taeniaeformis
Lineage: Eukaryota; Metazoa; Platyhelminthes; Cestoda; Cyclophyllidea; Taeniidae
Description: partial 12S ribosomal RNA
Source: RNAcentral
UUUCGUUAUGUUGGUGUAUGUCUGGUUUAAUAUUAUUGCUGAAUGGCAGAAGUUGUGUAGUGUUAUUUAAGCCAAGUCUAUGUGCUGUUUAUAAAAGUAUUCAUGCGUUACAUUAAUAAGUAUUUAAUUGUAAUAUUAGAUGAUUUAGGACUUAAAAGUAAUGUUUAAUUAAUUAGUAAAUGUGAAAUAAGUUUAGCUCAGGUACACACCGCCCGUCACCCUCGGUU